Etheostoma spectabile (orangethroat darter) is the source of this 356-nucleotide long non-coding RNA. RefSeq lists it as uncharacterized. The transcript is spliced from 2 exons. The record is from RefSeq and is a predicted model, not a curated record. NCBI's taxonomy places the organism in Eukaryota, Metazoa, Chordata, Actinopteri, Perciformes, Percidae.
GGUCGCGCCCACUCUACGGUCAUGCCUGAAGCGGCCGUGGCAGGCUCCAGGUGGCAUGGCAGAACGGUUUCAUCCCCAACGGUUGCCGUUAUUGGCCGAGACGGACCGACUACAUGCACCAGACCUGAGGAAGAUACCCAUCUGUUUCAACUCGAGCAGCGUGUUGUGGUUUUUGCGAUAUCUGUGACUAAAAUCCUUUCUGAGGAUCUCUAAAAGCUCAGUGGACUUUGACAUCCGACUGCUGCUUAGUAAAAGGGUGCUGAGAGAAGGACAAACACCACCAGUAAGAGAACUGUGUGAAGACUUAAGACCUGGUCCAUCUUUCAGGUGAGACAUCCUGGGCUUCUGAAAGCUAA